GAUGAACGCUGGCGGCGUGCCUAAUACAUGCAAGUCGAGCGAAGCGGGGACGGGUGAGUAACACGUGGAUAACCUCCUAUAAGCCUGGGAUAACUUCGGGAAACAGGAGCUAAACCGGAUACUUAUAGGUAGAUCCUCUCUGCAUUAGCUAGUUGGUAAGGUAACGGCUUACCAAGGCAACGAUGCAUAGCCGACCUGAGAGGGUGAUCGGCCACACUGGAACUAAGAAACGGUCCAGACUCCUGCGUGAGGCAGCAGGAGGGAAUCUUCCGCAAUGGGCGAAAGCCUGACGGAGCAACGCCGCGUGAGUGAUGAAGGUCUUCGGAUCGUAAAACUCUGUUAUUAGAGAAUCGGUACCUAAUCAGAAAGCCACGGCUAACUACGUGCCAGCAGGCGCGGUAAUAC
RNAcentral lists this ribosomal RNA (405 nucleotides) under uncultured bacterium. RNAcentral describes it as "partial 16S ribosomal RNA". It matches the Rfam family "Bacterial small subunit ribosomal RNA", at positions 28 to 526 of the family's 1533-position model. The record is from RNAcentral.